RNAcentral lists this ribosomal RNA (434 nucleotides) under uncultured bacterium. RNAcentral's name for it is "partial 16S ribosomal RNA". It matches the Rfam family "Bacterial small subunit ribosomal RNA", at positions 29 to 507 of the family's 1533-position model. The record is from RNAcentral.
AGCGAACGCUGGCGGCAGGCCUAACACAUGCAAGUCGAACGAACCUUUCGGGGUUAGUGGCGGACGGGUGAGUAACACGUGGGAACGUGCCUUUAGGUUCGGAAUAACUCAGGGAAACUUGUGCUAAUACCGAAUGUGCCCUUCGGGGGAAAGAUUAAUCGCCUUUAGAGCGGCCCGCGUCUGAUUAGCUAGUUGGUUGAGGUAAUGGCUCACCAAGGCGACGUUCAGUAGCUGGUCGGAGAGGAGGAUCAGCCAGAUUGGGACUGAGACACGGCCCAAACUCCUACGGAGAGCAGCAGUAGAGAGUCUUGUGCAAUGAAGGAAAACCUGACGCAGCCAUGCCGCGUGAAUGAGGAAGGUCGUAGGAUUGUAAAAUUCUUUCUCCGGAGACGAGAAUGACGGUACCCGGAAAAGAAGCCCCGGCUAACUACGUG